GCAACCUUUAACUUAUAAAAGGGCAAGUGGCACAAUUUCAGGGAACAAAUGGACUUUUUUCUUUUAAGCCAGCAUCUUCCCCACCACUCCCACACCUCCCUCCCUCCCUCCCAACCAAAAGUCAGUGGAGAAACAAAGCAUUGCCGCGGGCAGUCCUACUCUCGAGUGUCCCCUUGUGGCCAAACCUGGACAUCACUUCCGUAUUUUGCAAGCUGCGGCUCAGCUAAGAGGGCUGGUCUCGAACUCCUGACCUCAGGUGAUCCGCCCGCGUUGGCCUCCCAAAGUGCUGGGAUUACAGACCUGACCCACCAUGCCUGGCCUCAAGGAAAUAUCUUGAAAGAUCACAGACUGGGAAACAGGCAUGAGAAAGAAAAAAAGUAAGUAGACAUUUGGCUAGUAGGUGCCUAGACCACUUAACACUGAAGAUGAAAGACCGAAGGCUCUGAGUAAGAAUCAUUUGACCAGUAGCUCAGGUGAGUCAUAACCUGCACAGAACUAGGGCACACGUGUUGAAGCCAGGAAGUUGAGAGCGUCAGGCUUACUAAUUUGCAAGGACGGGGUGUUGCUUCCAGUAGGGUAUGUGAUCAAGAUUUCACGGCUCAUUUUUCUCUGCUUUUCCAACAGGUGCAAUCAAGUCAUCCAUGUACACAAGUGACUGCCCUGGCAGUUACAUCUGUUAGGAUUAAAUUUCCAUUUGUUCCAUUACUUUAUAUGAAGUGAUUUCUACUGUUGAGUCAGACAGAUCACUUCCUCUUAGACCUAGGGACUUUUUUUCAACAUUUUAAACAAUGUGUGUGUUUUUCAAAAUGUGUCCCAGCCAGGUCUGCAGGUCUUCCUGGGUUGAAUGGACUGUUUACAGAAAGGGAAGAUUCAGGGCCCAAGGUCAGGGUUACAGAAUUAUAUAAGGUUUCCUGUUUGGGCAGCUGGUCUAGCAGCACCUCAGGUUGGGGCAGACCGGGUCUUGUUGAGAGACAGCAUGCCCAGCAGGCUAGGGCGGGCGGACCGGUGCCAGGAGCAGGGAAGGACAUUUUUCUUUCUUUCUUUUUUUUUUUGUUGAGACCAAGUCUUGCUCUGUCACCCAGGCUGGAGUGCAGUGGUGCAAUCUCGGCUCACUGCAACCUCUGCCUCCUGGGCUCAAGCGAUUCUCCUGCCUCUCAGACUCUUGAGUAGCUGGGAUUACAGACACCCGCCACCACACCUGGCUAGUUUUUGUAUUUUUAGUAGAGAUGGGGUUUCACUAUUUGGCCAGGCUGGUCUUGAACUCCUGACCUCAUGAUCCUCCCGCCUUGGCCUCCCAAAGUGCUAGGAUUACAGGCUUGAGCCACCGAGCUCGGCCUGACAAUUUUCUUUUUAAUCUUUCAUCAUUCAGCUUUCAUUUCUUGUCGGCUGUCACUCUUCAGCAGUAUGUUCCUAUAUUCUCUGUUAGGAGACCCUUUUUUUUCCUGGCCAGACUGAGAGAAAGGAAGGAAUUAAGGGAUGGAAGAAUGACAAGGUCAGGCACUGUUGUCUGUCUGAUCCACAGAUGUAACCACAGCACAAGCGUGGCUCACAGUACUAGCAUGAUAAAUGCUUGUUACAUGAAGGUAUGAACAGGGAUGAGAAGGGACUUCCUGGAGAAAGAAAGGGACUAACAAUCAGGAAAGGGAGGUCAUUGGGGCAGGAGUAAAGUGGACACCUCAGCAAAGCCACUUGCUGUGACCUCUGAUGGUGCAGUGUCAUGUCUUGUCACCAGGGCCCCCUCGUGUUUGGGGUUGGCUAAGUGCAGUUAUGAUUGGCCAGUGUUUGACAGGGAUCCAGCGGGCCAAAUCCUAAUCUACUGGACUCUGACAUCAGCUAGUCCCUUGGGUCAUGCACCUGAUGGCUCCCAAUCUCCCCACUUGUCCUCACCCACAGGCCCUCGGCAAAAGGACAGUGGGAGGCACCCGUGACACUCACUGCCCUUUUCCUGUGCAGCUGUUUUUCUUCUUAGUACUUUUCACUCCUUGUUACUCUUUUUUUGUUGUUGUUCUUGCUCAGCCCACACAGAACUAGGAACCUUGUUAUUCUUUGACUGAUUUUUCUGUGCUCUGUCUGCUUGCACACAGAUGGAUAUCUGAGGAGCCAGGGAACUUUCUUUACCUCCUGGUAUCAUUUCAUGAGAAUUACUAGCAUCUGCACAAUGGGGCCUUGGAGAGAGGAAUAAAGGGAAAAAUCUGGAAUGGAACCACAUGACGCAACAGCCUACUCGGACUCCCUGCCCAGCUGCUGUAUGUCUGGGAAACAGAAUAAAUAGCACUUGAGCAUCCCUGA
This is a long non-coding RNA of Cebus imitator (Panamanian white-faced capuchin), 2289 nucleotides long. RefSeq lists it as uncharacterized. The record is from RefSeq and is a predicted model, not a curated record. Lineage: Eukaryota; Metazoa; Chordata; Mammalia; Primates; Cebidae. The transcript is spliced from 2 exons.